RNAcentral lists this ribosomal RNA (121 nucleotides) under Eptatretus burgeri (inshore hagfish). Lineage: Eukaryota; Metazoa; Chordata; Myxini; Myxiniformes; Myxinidae. The record is from RNAcentral.
GCAUAUAACCUAGUUUUAGUCUUAAUGCAUCUGAUCCCAUCAGAUCUGGGAAGCUAAACAGAGUGGAGCCUGGUUAAAACUUGGAAUGCAGACCUCCAUGGAGUGCUGAGUGUUACAGGCU